This 809-nucleotide ribosomal RNA is filed under the name uncultured bacterium. RNAcentral's name for it is "bacterial SSU rRNA". It matches the Rfam family "Bacterial small subunit ribosomal RNA", at positions 8 to 796 of the family's 1533-position model. The record is from RNAcentral.
AGAGUUUGAUCAUGGCUCAGAGCGAACGCUGGCGGCGUGCCUAACACAUGCAAGUCGAACGUGAACGGGGGCAACCCCUAGUAAAGUGGCGUACGGGUGAGUAACACGUAGGUAAUCUACCCUAAAGUCUGGAAUAACCGGCCGAAAGGCUGGCUAAUACUGGAUAGAGCGACGGAAUCCGUAAUUGGGUUUUUCGGGAAAGGGAGGGAGCAAUCCCCUUUGCUUUAGGAUGAGCCUGCGUCCCAUCAGCUAGUUGGUAAGGUAACGGCUUACCAAGGCUAUGACGGGUAGCUGGUCUGAGAGGAUGAUCAGCCACACUGGAACUGAAACACGGUCCAGACUCCUACGGGAGGCAGCAGUGGGGAAUCUUGCGCAAUGGACGAAAGUCUGACGCAGCCACGCCGCGUGAGUGAAGAAGGCCUUCGGGUUGUAAAGCUCUGUCGGAGGGGACGAAAAGCUUUGGAGUUAAUAGCUCCAGAGCCUGACGGUACCCUUAAAGGAAGCACCGGCUAACUCUGUGCCAGCAGCCGCGGUAAUACAGAGGGUGCAAGCGUUGCUCGGAAUCAUUGGGCGUAAAGGGUAGGUAGGUGGUCUCAUUUGUGUGGGGUGAAAGCCUUGGGCUUAACUCAAGAAGUGCCCCGCAAACGGUGAGACUGGAGUCCUAGAGAGGCUAGCGGAAUUCCCGGUGUAGCGGUGAAAUGCGUAGAGAUCGGGAGGAACACCAGAGGCGAAGGCGGCUAGCUGGAUAGGCACUGACACUCAACUACGAAAGCGUGGGGAGCAAACAGGAUUAGAUACCCUAGUAGUCC